UACGUAGGGAGCAAGCGUUGUCCGGAAUCAUUGGGCGUAAAGCGCGCGUAGGCGGCUCUGUAAGUCCGUUGUGAAAGUCAAAGGCUCAACCUUUGAAAGCCGAUGGAUACUGCAGGGCUAGAGUCCGGAAGAGGCGAGUGGAAUUCCUGGUGUAGCGGUGAAAUGCGCAGAUAUCAGGAAGAACACCAAUGGCGAAGGCAGCUCUCUGGGACGGUACUGACGCUGAGACGCGAAAGCGUGGGGAGCGAACAGG
Molecule: ribosomal RNA, 253 nt
Filed under: uncultured bacterium
Lineage: Bacteria
Description: partial 16S ribosomal RNA
Rfam family: Bacterial small subunit ribosomal RNA
Source: RNAcentral